This 168-nucleotide unclassified non-coding RNA is filed under the name soil metagenome. Its description in RNAcentral is "partial internal transcribed spacer 1". The record is from RNAcentral.
GUGAAUUAAACAUGCUUGGUGUCUUCGCUUCGGCAAGGCCCUUGCUUAAAUCACAUCCUAAUCACCUGUGAACUGUAAGACGUAUGAUGAGGUCUUUGGCCAAGUCAUCGUCUGCCCAUUUUUAACAAACAAUUAAUGUAACAAACGUAGUCUUAUUAUAACCUAAUA